AGAGUCUCCAGCGCCUAGUCGUUGGGUAUACGGCGCGAUGUACAGAGCCGCGACACGCGACACGCAACUAGCAGCAGCAGCAGCAGCAGCACAAGUUGUGGCAGCAACACCACCAGCAGCAGCAGCAGCAGCAGCAGCAGCAGCAACACUUGCAACACCAGCAACACUUGCAGCAGCAGCAGCAGCAACACUAGCAACCGCAACAGCAACAGCAGCCGGAAGACCAAACGACCAUUGAGCCGCCCUUUUAAGCCGUUGCUCGCGACGCGAAAAAAAAAUUAUUUAAAAUCUAACCUAAUCUAAAAAAGAAAGAAAUCUCUUUCUCUCUAACUCCAACAAAACUAAAAAUCUUUUCGACUUACCAGCAUACUUUUUGAGGCGGAAAACGACACGAAUCACACCCCUAAUACAGCGCCAAAUGAGCUGGAAAUGUCCAAGUGGCCGGUGGCGAUGGUGAUGACGAUGAUGGUGGUUUUGGAUGGGCCAUCGAGGAAGCAACAACGGUGGCAAAUAAGCCAAAUUAACGAGAUCCCGGAUCCCAAAGGCAGGAGGCACAUCUCACUAGCAACCGAGGAACAAUGCCCUGAAAGAAAGCCAUUCAAAUCGCCCAAGUAAUCGGCAAAUAAUCGAGAGAAGUCGCUUCGUUUCGUUGAGGUUUUCGUUUCUUGCGAAAUUUCGGUUUCGGUUUCGCGAGUGCUAUCCUACCACUUCCGUUUCCGCUUUCGUGUAUGUGUGUGUGUGCCUACUCCUGUUUCUGUGUCUUGGUGUGAGAGCAGUUGGCCAGAUAUAUCUAUCUUUAUUUUUUUUGUUUUUUUUUUCUCCAUCCCCGCCGCCAAAAGUUAAAGUUCUGAAAACUAAACUAAAGAAUCGAGAUUAAAAAUGCAAAUUAGGCCG
Drosophila suzukii is the source of this 894-nucleotide non-coding RNA. The record is from RefSeq and is a predicted model, not a curated record. NCBI's taxonomy places the organism in Eukaryota, Metazoa, Arthropoda, Insecta, Diptera, Drosophilidae.